UACGUAGGGUGCGAGCGUUGUCCGGAAUUACUGGGCGUAAAGGCUCGUAGGCGGCCAACUAAGUCAUACGUGAAAUCCCUCGGCUUAACCGGGGAACUGCGUCUGAUACUGGAUGGCUUGAGUUCGGGAGAGGGAUGCGGAAUUCCAGGUGUAGCGGUGAAAUGCGUAGAUAUCUGGAGGAACACCGGUGGCGAAGGCGGCAUCCUGGACCGAUACUGACGCUGAGGAGCGAAAGCCAGGGGAGCAAACGGG
Molecule: ribosomal RNA, 252 nt
Filed under: uncultured bacterium
Lineage: Bacteria
Description: partial 16S ribosomal RNA
Rfam family: Bacterial small subunit ribosomal RNA
Source: RNAcentral